UGGGGGAUAUUGCACAAUGGGCGAAAGCCUGAUGCAGCGACGCCGCGUGGGGGAUGAAGGCCUUCGGGUUGUAAACUUCUUUUGCUCUGAACAAGGCAUGCUAAUGGGUGUGUUGAGUGUAGGGGUUGAUUAGCGCCGGCUAACUACGUGCCAGCAGCCGCGGUAAUACGUAGGGCGCGAGCGUUGUCCGGAAUUAUUGGGCGUAAAGGGCUUGUAGGUGGCUGGUUGCGUCUGUCGUGAAAGCUCAUGGCUUAACUGUGGGUUUGCGGUGGGUACGGGCUGGCUUGGGUGCAGUAGGAGAGGCUGGAAUUCCUGGUGUAGCGGUGGAAUGCGCAGAUAUCAGGAGGAAUACCGGUGGCGAAGGCGGGUCUCUGGGCUGUUACUGACACUGAGGAGCGAAAGCAUGGGGAGCGAACAGG
RNAcentral lists this ribosomal RNA (419 nucleotides) under bacterium. RNAcentral's name for it is "partial 16S ribosomal RNA". It matches the Rfam family "Bacterial small subunit ribosomal RNA", at positions 355 to 776 of the family's 1533-position model. The record is from RNAcentral.